Molecule: ribosomal RNA, 1246 nt
Filed under: Sesame phyllody phytoplasma
Lineage: Bacteria; Bacillati; Mycoplasmatota; Mollicutes; Acholeplasmatales; Acholeplasmataceae
Description: bacterial SSU rRNA
Rfam family: Bacterial small subunit ribosomal RNA
Source: RNAcentral
GAAACGACUGCUAAGACUGGAUAGGAGACAAGAAGGCAUCUUCUUGUUUUUAAAAGACCUAGCAAUAGGUAUGCUUAGGGAGGAGCUUGCGUCACAUUAGUUAGUUGGUGGGGUAAAGGCCUACCAAGACUAUGAUGUGUAGCCGGGCUGAGAGGUUGAACGGCCACAUUGGGACUGAGACACGGCCCAAACUCCUACGGGAGGCAGCAGUAGGGAAUUUUCGGCAAUGGAGGAAACUCUGACCGAGCAACGCCGCGUGAACGAUGAAGUAUUUCGGUACGUAAAGUUCUUUUAUUAGGGAAGAAUAAAUGAUGGAAAAAUCAUUCUGACGGUACCUAAUGAAUAAGCCCCGGCUAACUAUGUGCCAGCAGCCGCGGUAAUACAUAGGGGGCAAGCGUUAUCCGGAAUUAUUGGGCGUAAAGGGUGCGUAGGCGGUUAAAUAAGUUUAUGGUCUAAGUGCAAUGCUCAACAUUGUGAUGCUAUAAAAACUGUUUAGCUAGAGUAAGAUAGAGGCAAGUGGAAUUCCAUGUGUAGUGGUAAAAUGCGUAAAUAUAUGGAGGAACACCAGUGGCGAAGGCGGCUUGCUGGGUCUUUACUGACGCUGAGGCACGAAAGCGUGGGGAGCAAACAGGAUUAGAUACCCUGGUAGUCCACGCCGUAAACGAUGAGUACUAAACGUUGGGUAAAACCAGUGUUGAAGUUAACACAUUAAGUACUCCGCCUGAGUAGUACGUACGCAAGUAUGAAACUUAAAGGAAUUGACGGGACUCCGCACAAGCGGUGGAUCAUGUUGUUUAAUUCGAAGGUACCCGAAAAACCUCACCAGGUCUUGACAUGCUUCUGCAAAGCUGUAGAAACACAGUGGAGGUUAUCAGUUGCACAGGUGGUGCAUGGUUGUCGUCAGCUCGUGUCGUGAGAUGUUGGGUUAAGUCCCGCAACGAGCGCAACCCUUAUUGUUAGUUACCAGCACGUAAUGGUGGGGACUUUAGCAAGACUGCCAGUGAUAAAUUGGAGGAAGGUGGGGACGACGUCAAAUCAUCAUGCCCCUUAUGACCUGGGCUACAAACGUGAUACAAUGGCUGUUACAAAGGGUAGCUGAAGCGCAAGUUUUUGGCGAAUCUCAAAAAAACAGUCUCAGUUCGGAUUGAAGUCUGCAACUCGACUUCAUGAAGUUGGAAUCGCUAGUAAUCGCGAAUCAGCAUGUCGCGGUGAAUACGUUCUCGGGGUUUGUACACACCGCCCGUCA